GGAGACACGGUUCAGUGGUAGAAUGCUUGCCUUGCAUGCACGAGGCCCUAGGUUCAAUUCUCAGUACUGUCUCCC
This 75-nucleotide transfer RNA is filed under the name Mus musculus (house mouse). RNAcentral describes it as "tRNA-Ala". Lineage: Eukaryota; Metazoa; Chordata; Mammalia; Rodentia; Muridae. The record is from RNAcentral.